AGACUCCAACAUGAUUUUCACAUGCCAACUACUACGCAAUCACAGGUAAACAAAGAUCUAGAAACAAGCACGGCAGAGAUGGAAGCAAGAUUGGGACAUAGAGGAUAGGUUAAGGAAGGCAACAACUCUAGUAGAAUAGUUGAAAAAAGAAAAUGAGGAGUUAAAACAACAACAUGCUACCACGCCGCCAGUUAACUAUGAACAAACGAAAGGUGAGAGAGACGCCCAUAGUACAGGAGGAGCCGAUGCUGAGGAUUGGGAAAAGAGGAAGCUACAUGAUGAACUUAAAAGUCUCGUUGAUAAGUAUGAAGAAAUGGCGAAAAUGUUAGGAGGCUCCUCAUCCGUAGAGGAAUUGUUUAAUGAGACGGAUCUUCCUUAUAGUGAUGAGGUGAUGGCAGUACCACUUCCGCCUAGAUUCAAGGUCCUUCAGAUUGACAUGUAUAACGGAUCUAGGGAUCCUGUGGAUCACUUGAAAAACUUUAAAGCACAUAUGAAGAAACCUUUGCUUUAUACGAAAGCCUCUUGUUUCGGUUUCUUCUUCCCCUUGUGCUUCAUCCCCACAAUUCUCCAACCAUCUCUUCAUUUUUGAAGAGUAAUCCAGCCAAAAAUUUCCCCAAGAAGGGAGAUUACACAGUUGGAUGGUAACUGAGUAGAAGAAAGACAGCUAGAGCCCAAACAUCGUGCACCAUAGCUUGGGAAGGAAUUAUUCAAGUUCAAAGGGAACCAAGAGUGAAGCUCCAAGGUAAGUAGCUACAACCAUGCACCUGACAUGGAAUUUUCUUCUACUAAACGCUUUCUUUAUUCAAGAGCUUCAUGUGAUGAAAAGCUAAAUGUAUGUUAUGUAUAAACCUUCUUGGUAGCCUAUGUUAAGUAUCCAAUAAAUUAUGAAUGUGUGUAUAUGUAUGAUAUAAAGCAUGCACAAUAAAGGUUUAGAUCAUGAGGUUUAUCAUUCACAUGUUUUCUUUAAAGAUAGUGAUUUUCCUUCCUAUAAAAGUAUAGUGUGAAAUUCAUUCUUAUGAAAGAAAAUGCAUGUUGCGUUGGACUAAGAAAGAUGAUGAAAUGCUAUGAGUGGAAAAGGAAAUGAAAGAAAAGAAAUGGAGGAUUUUGUAUGAAAACAUGUAAAUGGCUAAUGAUGAAAUGAAAUGGUACCAAAGGAAAGGUGUUGAUUGCAAUGCCGGAUCGGUCCCAUUGGUAGCGUACCCAAUGACUAAGGAAUUUCCUAACCCUUGGCUAUGGGCAAAGAUUAGAUUUAAAAAACCGCUAACCCUAAUACAGAUGGCGUAAAAGUGUGUACUGGUCAAAGAAAAGUGAAAAUUGAACUUGAAUGCUUAUUUAGAUGUUUUAUGUUUAUUUCAAUGUCUUAACCUUGUAUGGCUUUUCAAAGAGAUGAUAGUUGAUAUAUGUUAUUUUAAAUCCUUGGAGUACUACUUACUAAGUAUUAGAUCACAUUUGUGUUAAAGUCUUAAAUGUCCAAGAAAUCUCGAGGACAAAACUGUGGAGCAAGACAUUGCUAGGGAAGGGGAGCUGAAUGCUUAGAUUUAGCUUGGGGAUGGGUCUCUUUUAUUUGAUGUUGGAUUAUUUUGGUUGAGUUGUAAAACUAAUUUUGGGGCAUGUAUUUUGAGACAAAGUGGUUUUUUUUUUUGUGAACCGGGUAGAUGUUUCUAUCCAGGGGACAAUUAUAGUUUUUAAAUUUGUAAUUAAUGGGACCAUUCCAUGCUUUGACAAAUAGGUUAUUUUGUGACUUUAAAAUAUGAUAGAAACUGGGAAGGUCCCUUUUCUAAAUUUAGCAUGAUAAAUAGGUCUCUUUUAUAAACUGUUGCUUUAUUAGGGAAAAAAAAAAAGCAGGAUGAAAUGUAACAACUCGUCCCACUCUAUGGAGGGAUUAUUAUAGCAAGCACUAGGCACCUUUAUGAUACGCGUGGCGCAUGAGGAGUUUUGUUGGCGAUGGGGUCUAGCUAGAUGUUGUUGAGUGUGCUUGGGAGCUAAUUGGGCCAAUUAACUCAUCCACUUUGUCAUGCAGCACUGUACACUCAAAAUUUAGGCCUUGUGCUCCCACUACAGAAAAGUCGAAAUUUAUAGAGAUGCAUACCCGAGAGAUCAUGGCGUAUAAGAUGAGGCCUUUACACAUGAGGCAUCAUGCACUACUAUUCGUGAGGAGAUUGCAAAUAUAAUAUGUGUAGAGAGUCAUACACAGACAAUAAAAACGAUUGUUGUAGUGUGUAUGGAGGUUCAGCGUGUUAUCUUUGACUUACAUAUAGAGUUUGCUAGCAUCUCUAAGACUCAUGUGUAUGGAGAUCCAGAGUUUGCUACAGUGUAUAUAUCUUUUGCAAUUUUUUAGUUUUUUGUAUGGACACUUCAUGUUUUGUAAAAUUUAUUUAAUUAUGAAUUGUCCUUUUCUUUAAUUAUGAA
Molecule: long non-coding RNA, 2409 nt
Organism: Carya illinoinensis
Lineage: Eukaryota; Viridiplantae; Streptophyta; Magnoliopsida; Fagales; Juglandaceae
Exons: 3
Source: RefSeq, a predicted model, not a curated record